CCGCUGUGAUGACAGUCUUAGGACACCUUUGGAUUCAUGAUGAAACUAAACGUUAGUCUGAGCGGC
Dunckerocampus dactyliophorus (ringed pipefish) is the source of this 66-nucleotide small nucleolar RNA. RefSeq annotates it as small nucleolar RNA SNORD58. Lineage: Eukaryota; Metazoa; Chordata; Actinopteri; Syngnathiformes; Syngnathidae. The record is from RefSeq and is a predicted model, not a curated record. The transcript has a single exon.